CGGUUUAAUUAGAUUAAACGCGUAACUAAAAUCAACAACUAUCUACCUUAAACCCAAGGUCCAACACAAGGCUCAUGUUGGAUCAAAUCAAUCGGUUCAUAAUCAUCCUAAAACCUAAUAUGACUAUAUAGUCCAUAUGAGGAUGCAAUGCAUUCGUUAGUAGUUCCAUAUAGUCUCGCUUGUUUCAACGAAACAAUGGGAGUAUUAUAUGCUACUAAUUCAUAUUGACUUGGACCAAUAGUUGUGAUAGGCCCAAGUUCUUUUAAUGUGAUUAAAAUGUUUUUGAUGUAGCCCAAAACAACUCCCUCAAAACAAAUAUUAAGUUGAUAAGCGAGAGAUGUUUUGAACAUCUCUUCGUAGGCCUUCCACCGUGGUGGGCUCCAAGCGUUUGUGACUCAUGCACCGGCUUCACCCUAUCAUGGGGGAGUACAAAGCAUGUGCUUACAUCCAGGAGGAAUCCAUAUACAUAUGAUGAGGUGAGUGUAGGCAACGAGGAUAGCCGAUAUCAUAUCAUUGUGAGGCUAUUCUUGAACCCCUUCACAAACUAAGCAUGGUGGGAAUAACUUAACUAAGUGCAAUGGAGCCGAUAUCGUAUCAUCGUGAGGCAAAAUUCUCUAGAGGCCAAACGGAUGGGUAAUUACAAAAGUUGUAAAUGAAUAAUGCGUUAUUCUCUCAUCAUUAUUUUUGCUAACCAAUAUCAUAUCAUCGUGAGGUGGGCUUGGUAAUGGUGAGUCUCCCAUAAC
Molecule: long non-coding RNA, 743 nt
Filed under: Malus domestica (apple)
Lineage: Eukaryota; Viridiplantae; Streptophyta; Magnoliopsida; Rosales; Rosaceae
Description: long non-coding RNA (MDOM_LNC013597)
Source: RNAcentral